GAGUUUGAUCCUGGCUCAGGGUGAACUGCUGGCGGCGUGCCUAAUGCAUGCAAGUUGAGCUGAUCCUGCUUCGGCGGGGAGCAGCGAACUGGCAUGAGGAACUGCUGUAGGUAACCUACCCUUCGGUGGGGGACAACUCCUGGGAAACCGGUGCUAAUACCGCAUACGACCUCCCGGUUGCGGCCGGGAGAGGAAAGUCGCAAGACGCCGAGGGAGGGGCCUGCGUCCCAUCAGGUAGUUGGUGGGGUAAUGGCCUACCAAGCCGACGACGGGUAGCUGGUCUGAGAGGACGAUCAGCCAGAGGGGGACUGAGACACGGCCCCCACUCCUACGGGAGGCAGCAGCAGGGGAUCUUGGGCAAUGGGCGAAAGCCUGACCCAGCGACGCCGCGUGGGGGAUGAAGGCCUUUGGGUCGUAAACCCCUUUUCCAGGGGACGAUAAUGACGGUACCUUGGGAAUAAGCCCCGGCUAACUACGUGCCAGCAGCCGCGGUAAAACGUAGGGGGCAAGCGUUACCCGGAAUUACUGGGCGUAAAGGGCAUGUAGGCGGCUCGGUCCGUCGUCGGUGAAAGGCCCCGGCUUAACCGGGGAGCCGCUGACGAUACCACCGGGCUAGAGGGCAGCAGAGGUGAGUGGAAUUCCCGGCGUAGCGUUGAUAUGAUAGAGUUCGGGAGGAACACCAGUGGCGAAGGCAGGCUCACUGGGCUGUACCUGACGCUCAGGUGCGAAAGCAGUGGGGAGCAAACAGGAUUAGAUACCCUGGUAGUC
This 768-nucleotide ribosomal RNA is filed under the name uncultured bacterium. RNAcentral describes it as "bacterial SSU rRNA". It matches the Rfam family "Bacterial small subunit ribosomal RNA", at positions 9 to 795 of the family's 1533-position model. The record is from RNAcentral.